RNAcentral lists this ribosomal RNA (254 nucleotides) under uncultured bacterium. Its description in RNAcentral is "partial 16S ribosomal RNA". It matches the Rfam family "Bacterial small subunit ribosomal RNA", at positions 524 to 776 of the family's 1533-position model. The record is from RNAcentral.
UACGAAGGGGGCUAGCGUUGCUCGGAAUCACUGGGCGUAAAGGGCGCGUAGGCGGGCUCUUUAAGUCAGGGGUGAAAUCCCAAGGCUCAACCUUGGAACUGCCUUUGAUACUGCGGAUCUCGAGUCCGAUAGAGGUGGGUGGAAUUCCUGGUGUAGAGGUGAAAUUCGUAGAUAUUAGGAAGAACACCGGUGGCGAAGGCGGCCCACUGGAUCGGUACUGACGCUGAGGUGCGAAAGCGUGGGGAGCAAACAGG